AGUGAACGCUGGCGGUAGGCCUAACACAUGCAAGUCGAACGGCAGCACAGUAAGAGCUUGCUCUUACGGGUGGCGAGUGGCGGACGGGUGAGGAAUACAUCGGAAUCUACUUUUUCGUGGGGGAUAACGUAGGGAAACUUACGCUAAUACCGCAUACGACCUACGGGUGAAAGCAGGGGAUCUUCGGACCUUGCGCGAUUGAAUGAGCCGAUGUCGGAUUAGCUAGUUGGCGGGGUAAAGGCCCACCAAGGCGACGAUCCGUAGCUGGUCUGAGAGGAUGAUCAGCCACACUGGAACUGAGACACGGUCCAGACUCCUACGGGAAGCAGCAGUGGGGAAUAUUGGACAAUGGGGGCAAGCCUGAUCCAGCCAUACCGCGUGGGUGAAGAAGGCCUUCGGGUUGUAAAGCCCUUUUGUUGGGAGAGAAAAGCAGCAGGUUAAUACCCCGCUGUUCUGACGGUACCCAAAGAAUAAGCACCGGCUAACUUCGUG
RNAcentral lists this ribosomal RNA (492 nucleotides) under uncultured bacterium. RNAcentral describes it as "partial 16S ribosomal RNA". It matches the Rfam family "Bacterial small subunit ribosomal RNA", at positions 29 to 507 of the family's 1533-position model. The record is from RNAcentral.